Molecule: long non-coding RNA, 740 nt
Filed under: Androctonus crassicauda
Lineage: Eukaryota; Metazoa; Arthropoda; Arachnida; Scorpiones; Buthidae
Source: RNAcentral
UUCUGCAAAAACAAAAUAAGUUGAUAGGGUUCCGUAGUGUCAAAAAGUUUGAGAAACAUGGUUUUAAGGCAUUCUCUUUGUCCUCAAUGUGAAAAUUGUCCCAAAGAGAGAUGAACUAUAUACUGGUCAAUGGCACAGAACUAAAUGAAGCAAAGUCAGAUAACAAUACAUGAAUGUGUCAAGUGAUCCCUCAUCCUUCAAGUGUUUGAUCACUAAUGAUGUAAUGCACCCUAUAUCCAGCAUGAGUGCUAAUAUUGUCUUCAAAUUAUACUGCAUCAUCUGUCACACAAGCCAAUCUGAGAUACAUCUAGAACUUAAGCAAAGGACUCUGCUCAAAAAGCCAGCUAUAGUCUCUAACCUUCCAAGAUUAUAAAAGAAAACCUUCCAUUAUUAUUUUACAAUGCAAUAUAAACAGAAUCACCACUCCUACAUUCAGAGUUAAGUUAGAUGAACUACUUGAUUUAGCUGAUCAUCAUCAUGUUAUCAUCAUUGCACUAUAGGAGACCAAAUUCUCAUCUAAAUAUCAACUCAAAAUUAAGGGCUUUAAUAUCCUUUGCCAAGAUCAGCCAGGUGGUGAGAGUGGUGGUGGACUAUCUUCCUUAUUAAAAACCUAAAAUAUAACCAAUUCAAUUUCUUAAAAUUCAGCACAAAGAUCAGGAGAAAAAUAUAGAAAAUAUAGUAAAACAUUCUUUAUCGACUUAAAAUAAUUUUAUUGAAGUGCUUUGGAUUCUCUAGGUCCU